This 21-nucleotide microRNA is filed under the name Saccoglossus kowalevskii. RNAcentral's name for it is "sko-miR-4821". The record is from miRBase by way of RNAcentral. Lineage: Eukaryota; Metazoa; Hemichordata; Enteropneusta; Harrimaniidae.
GCACCUGCUGCUAUCAACUGA